RNAcentral lists this ribosomal RNA (301 nucleotides) under uncultured bacterium. RNAcentral's name for it is "partial 16S ribosomal RNA". It matches the Rfam family "Bacterial small subunit ribosomal RNA", at positions 509 to 808 of the family's 1533-position model. The record is from RNAcentral.
CAGCAGCCGGCGGGAAUACGGAGGGUGCAAGCGUUAAUCGGAAUUACUGGGCGUAAAGCGCACGCAGGCGGUCUGUCAAGUCAGAUGUGAAAUCCCCGGGCUUAACCUGGGAACUGCAUUUGAAACUGGCAGGCUAGAGUCUUGUAGAGGGGGGUAGAAUUCCAGGUGUAGCGGUGAAAUGCGUAGAGAUCUGGAGGAAUACCGGUGGCGAAGGCGGCCCCCUGGACAAAGACUGACGCUCAGGUGCGAAAGCGUGGGGAGCAAACAGGAUUAGAUACCCGUGUAGUCCCUGUCUCUUAUA